GUUCCUGAAGAUUCCGAUGGUGGCUGUCAGGUGGAAGAGCGUGGAGACUUGUUCUCUUUAGUCCUGAGGAUUUUGAGCAGCAUGAAGGGUGGGGGCUACGAAGAGGCCGGUUCCAGCUGAGCAGAAAGAAUGAGAACCGGGGUCUCCCGUUCCUGCUGGUCAGCGUGGCCUGACUUCAAGAGGCCCCGUGCAAGGCCAGCUCCGGCGGGUUCGAGGAGAGUGCCCAUGGCUGUGGGAGAAGGGCAGGUUGUGGAGGAGAUGGAAACAUCAGGCGGGAGGUGCAUUUAUGGCCUUUCGGUGCUUUUCUGUGAUUGUCACUCUGUAAUGAGCUCCAGAAGGCAAACUUAUGAGAAACCUCCUCCUGGGCUUAUCAAGGAAGAUGAGACUAAGCCGGAAGACUGUAUACCAGAUGUACCAGGCAACGAACAUGCCAGGGAAUUUCUGGCUCACGCACCAACUAAAGGACUUUGGAUGCCACUGGGGAAAGAAGUCAAAGUUAUGCAGUGUUGGCGUUGUAAACGGUAUGGUCACCGAACAGGCGACAAAGAAUGCCCUUUCUUUAUCAAAGGCAACCAAAAGUUAGAACAGUUCAGAGUAGCACAUGAAGAUCCUAUGUAUGAUAUCAUACGAGAGAAUAAAAGACAUGAAAAGGACAUAAGGAUACAGCAGUUAAAACAGUUACUGGAGGAUUCCACCUCCGAUGAAGAUGGGAGCAGCUCCAGCUCCUCAGAAUGUAAAGAGAAACACAAGAAAAAGAAGAAGAAAGAAAAGCAUAAGAAAAGGAAAAAAGAAAAGAAGAAGAAGAAAAAACGAAAGCAUAGGUCUUCCAAGUCGAAUGAGAGUUCAGACUCGGACUAAGACUUGACCUAUUCCAUGUUCUCCUCUCAAAAAUCAGACACUGUGGCCCCAGACCAGAGGGUGUGGAAUCGGGGAGGACUUGGAGACCCCAAGAGAGCAGGGCAUUCGGUGUCACGCGUGUGAAUUCUCACCUGCCUUCCAGCAAAGACGUGACCCCCGGAGGACAGCUGAGCCCAUAAAGCUCAUCAAUCAAAAGUUCUUCAUCCUGAAAUCUCUCCCUUCAGACUCAGUACUCUCCAGUCCUAUUUAGAAAAUGAAGAGAAGUCACCAGAACUCCUUCUACCAAGGGCUGUGAUAGGAUGGAAAAAAUGGAUUCCUACACACUAAUGAGAAAUGACAGCAGAGGCAAAUGAGACUUUAAGAAGACUAAAGAAUUCCAAGUCUGGGUGGAAGGGUCCUCACCUCUUCUGGCUGGCCUGGGAUCGCGGACACAGGGCUGCGCGGCGUUGGGGACCCGGGCAGCGUUGCCCACAAGCCCGGGCCGCAUCUCGCACAAACAAGUCUCGGCUUCCCCAAGCAGCAGCAGCAGCACGGAGUGAAGACUGAGGCCAGGAGAGAACUUGCCGCAGCGCCUCGAACGUGACGGGCUGUGCCCAGGAGCUCCACUCCAGGGCCAUCACUUAGGCCUGGCCUGCAGCGCCCUCGUCCUCAGCCUCUCGGGCGUGCCCACCGCGCCCCUUCCCCGGUCCAGAGGAACCCAUCCCGGGGGACCCAGCCUCUCUUUACCCACGACUCACACCCCACUCCCUGUCCUGCAAGUCAGUCGCCUCCACUCCCUCGGCACCCAACCCCACCACUCACCGUGUUCGGUACGCCCACCUGCUCUAAGCCAACCUCCACAACCCGGAACGUCUCUGACACCUGGGCCUUGGCUCCCACUUUUAUAGGCUCCGCGUGCUGCGCGGGCCUCCCACAGAUGGCUCACGCAUGCGCCCUGGGCGAGGAACGGAGCCUGACUGUUCCUCCCAAGGACACCUGGAGAACCCUUGGAGCAGUUUUCGGGACCAUGCUCGCUCCGGCGCCUGGACGCCCUGGUGUUGGCGCUUCCAGAGGACGGGUCGGUUCCCUGUCCCACUCGCUCUCCCGGACUGUCCCUUCCAUUUGAGUGUGUUCGGUGAAGACAGUUUGUCUCCCCUGCUCUGAGCCCCUGGUUUCCUUCCUUCUUGGGCCUGACACCGCUGACACGAAGGAAGAGGAGCUGACAGAGGAGAAGGAGAGAGGAAGGAGGAGGCUAGCCUGGACCGUGUGGACCUGAAAGUAGGCAAUUCAUAAGGGAGGGGCGCUCCAGCCCCUACCGCUGCGGAGAGUAAAAGCAGGGGUGCAGAGGUUCUGGCAGUUAGGGCGCCCUGGGUUGGGAGAGUGAGGAACAGAGGGCCUGGGGAAGUCGUCUGUGGGCUGGUACGUGGGCAGUUGGAGAGAGAAGCUGGCACACACGGACUCCGCUUUUUUUUGCAUGGGAAAGAAAGGAAAGGCCUCGGAUCGUAGUUAAUGGGCGUCGUGGGGUUGUAAGGAUUAUUGUGAGUUUUUGUUUUGUUUUUAAAGCGAGAGAUUUAGGUAUCUGUAAGGCCAGAAUGGAGAGACAGGGAGAUGUUACCUAUAGUGGAGAGAGAAAGGAUGUUAGGAGGCAGUUCUGAGGAAGCACAAGGUGAGGUUAGCUAAGCCUGGUUACAAUGCUUUCCCUUGGACAGAAGAAAGUUACUGAGAUAGGCGGGAAAUGAAGUCUUUGAGGGCAGGAGUUUCGGUGCUUUAGCAUGUGAUGACCUUGAUAUUUUUCUUUUUCUAAAGUUUUUUAUUUUGAGAGAGAGAGUGUGUGUGUGUAUGAGGGAGCAGGAGAGGAGAGAGGGAGAGAGAGAAUCCCAAGCAGGCUCCUUGCUGUCAGCACAGAGCCUGACCUGGGGCUCAGUCUCACAAAACUGUGAGAUCAUGACCUGAGCUGAAACCAAGAGUCUGGCACUUAACUGACUGAGCUACCCAUGCGCCCUACUCUUGAUAUUUUUCAAUGGAGGGCAGAAUAAAGACUUUAAGGGAACAUUGAAAAUUUGGGAUGACUGUCUGCAUUACCAGGUGAAGUUGUGUUUGAGCAGAAAUACUGGUGCCUGAAACUGGAUAAAGUUUUUCUUUCACAUAGAGAUGGAGGUAUGCCAUCCUUUCAGGGCAGGUCUGGAAGCUCCUUGCUGUCACAAAGAACCCAGGCUCCUUUCGUUUUGCUCUGCCAUCCUUACAAUGGCUUCCAUCUUCAAAAUGCCACAUUCCAAGAUGCUUGUUCCAGGCAGAAAGCAGGGGGUUGAGAAGGGAAAGGGUAAAAAAGAGCACAACAGGUACAUAGCAGCUUCUCUUCUGUCAUCAGUAUUGCUUUUAAGGAGCUUUACUAGAAGACCUACCCAACUUCAGCUUAUACCACAAUGGCUUCCCAUGGCUGAAAUGAGGUUGUCUUUUAGCUAGGCAUGUUGCCACUUGCAAUAAAUUGAGAUGCUAUGACUAAGGAAGAGAAUGGGUAUUAAUUGAGCUGACAACUAACAAUGUCUGCCAUACUGCAGGGAAGGGAAAAAACGGUUCUACAAACAUGCAAAAGGAUUGCUGGUAGAGUUGAGGGCUGACCUGGAAUGAGGAUCAGUACUUUGUAUUUUCCUUCAUCUGUAGUGGUGUAUCACUUGCUCAGUCAUAUUCAGUUGCUUGGGAGAGACCUUGAAUGAUUGCAUGAAUCCAAACCAAGGACUAUGGUUUUACAGAGCUUGUGGACAGAAGAGCAAGGGUUCAAGAAAGUUCAGUGUCAUGGUGAGAAAUUAAUACAUCAUGACACAUAAUGUAUACCCUGUACUUGCAUGGCCGUGAACAUGAGUGCCUCCUUAAAGUUUUACCCUAGGUGCCUCACCCCACCCUACUUAGUGGCCUAGUGUAUAGUCAGGAAGAGAAAGGAAGUAAUGUCAGAGGGGAGCUGAUCAAAUGGAGAAAAAAUUAAUGGAAAUCUUUUACAUGACAGGGAGUUGUAGUCAGAGAAUGGACAGUUUAAAUUUAGGAUUUCAGGGUUGGAACUGUUGCUAAUUAUAACAAGGUCCAUCGGGUGAUCAAGUAGUGCUUUGCUCAGAUGCUGUGUGGUGAGAGUCAUUGGCACUGAGGAAGGAAAAGAUCUUGGAAGCUGGAGUUUUGGAUGACUCACCCCCUCCUUCAUAUCGUGGUCAUGUAGAGGUUUCCUAUGUCCUCAAUGAAUGUGGCACAGUGACCUACAAGGUGAAAGACAGAAGUAUCAGAAGAUGUUUGUAUUUAUAAUUUUAUAAUAUUUUUCUUAAAGAUAACCCCCAAAAUUUAUAAUAGUCCCCAGAAAACUGGGAUUUUCCACAAGCUAGUGGCCACGUCUCAGUGCUGGGGUGCAUGAACAGUGAAAGAAAGAAGAACCUCCUUAUGAGGGCUGCUCAGAAUAGGAGUAUCCUUGGGAGGAAACAAAGUUCAGCAACUAUUCAGAAAUAGGUUGAGGGAUAUAGUGGGUUGUGUUCAGCCAAACAGGGCUUCCAAGUUACAUAAUCGAGAGGGUUCGUAGGUAGAUCAGCAGGGAGCAGGAUUGGAAUGAGAGUGUUCCAGAAAUGCCAGCUAAUUGGAAGCUUUGGAUUUGAGGCUGUGCUGGAAGAUGUCACAGAUGAAACUACCCAGUUUUGUACUACUUGGUCUGUAGUGGUACUAUCUGGCUUAUAGAUUCCACUAGACCUCUAAUAUAAAAAUGUUUUUGUGCCAACUGAGACAUUUUGUGUGGGAUGGGGUGUCUGAGGUUAGGUGGUGGUUGCUAUUUUUAUGUUAAGGUCCAGUUAGUGAACUCUGUGUUCUCUGCUCAGGAUUCCAAAUGGGUAUUAUUAUCAUUGUCUCUAUUUUAAGAUGACGACACCUGAGAUUCAGGGAGGUUAAGUAAUCUAACCAUAUAUAUGAAGUUUCAAUCCUAAAUUGGAAGGAGAUUGGGCUAAGGUCUUUGGAUUCCCAGGCCCAGUGCCUUUUCUAUUGCUUGGGCGGUCCCUGUUAUUCUCCUUUUGACAGUCUGACAGUCUCUGUCUCAUUAAAGCAGCCUGAUUUAUACUUUCCCCUCAGUUGACACACUGGAUUUUAUAUUGAAAAUUUAAACACCAAGUAUAAUAAUAAUAAUAGUCUUGUUUUCCAUA
Molecule: RNA transcript, 5000 nt
Organism: Neofelis nebulosa (Clouded leopard)
Lineage: Eukaryota; Metazoa; Chordata; Mammalia; Carnivora; Felidae
Gene name: retinitis pigmentosa 9 protein
Exons: 10
Source: RefSeq, a predicted model, not a curated record